GCAUAUAAAUACGAAAAUAUCGGAGAAAAUCUAGUUUCGGUAGUUGGGCUUCACAAUUCACAUUAUACCUCUCUCUCUCUCUCUCUCUGUGACUGGAGAAGGACGGAGAGAGAAGUUCCAUGGCGAGUCUACGGCGGCGACAGUGGUGGACCGCGGUGGCAUUUCCGACGAGACGAAUCUGGAACCGUAUCGGCGUACGCCUCGGAUUCCGCCGCACCGGACUCCUCAAGUUGCAGCACGACGUGAGAUCAUGUGAGUAUGAAGAUAUACAUAUAAUGUGGGGUUUGCUGCACAAGAACGAAGAUCUUGGCCCAUCCCAGAAGAGAACAUGCUGGAAGUGGAAGAAUCUCCUCGGAUCUUAUCUUUGCCAAAGAUUCUGACAAACGCCCAGAAUCAGAAUCCAAACCCGAAACAUUUGAGUUCAUGACGAAUCUUCCAGCUCCUCCGUCGGUGGUGGGUGCCGUACGGGGUAGCCUCGCAGUUCUGUCUUAAAAUUAUGCCCCUUUGUAAAUACCACCCAAGUUCGAAAGCAUGUCGGAGUAGUGGUAGGUCUCAACUUCGUGCUUGGAUUGUGGAUGUGCGUGUGUAUAUAUACACACAUAUAUAAUAAAACAAUGUAUCAUUUCUCUUCAACGACCACUCGAACAUGGGAUAUGAGAUAAAUGUAUCUCUCUCUUCUCAACCAA
This is a long non-coding RNA of Tarenaya hassleriana, 686 nucleotides long. RefSeq lists it as uncharacterized. The record is from RefSeq and is a predicted model, not a curated record. The transcript is spliced from 2 exons. Lineage: Eukaryota; Viridiplantae; Streptophyta; Magnoliopsida; Brassicales; Cleomaceae.